AGGCUUCUUUCCAAAUGUUCCGGAGGUGUGCCCAGGACCUGGAUCCUGGGCCAACAGUGGGAACAAGAAGACAAUGAAGACAUGUAUGGGGGACAAACCACUCCAUUUUGCUGCCUUAAUGGGAUUCCUCAGAGCUGCAAGAUUCAGGAAUCAUGAGUGACAAAGCAACCUGUUCCAUUGCUUCAAAGCAUAUCUGGAUUGGAUGAAGAAGCCAUGUACAUGAUGUCAGUGUAUAAGAAAUUAUGAGCUGGGAUAGCCAUAACAAGAAGUCAGCCAAUGGGAACUGUUUGGUGACUAAGAAAAAGGAUCUGUUAUGAGCCAUGUGAGAUGGUUUGGAGCCGGGGCGUGGCUUAGCUUAACUGGUCUGUAUGUAUAUAUAUAUGAAUUCAUUUGUCCUUGC
Pantherophis guttatus is the source of this 400-nucleotide long non-coding RNA. RefSeq lists it as uncharacterized. NCBI's taxonomy places the organism in Eukaryota, Metazoa, Chordata, Lepidosauria, Squamata, Colubridae. The record is from RefSeq and is a predicted model, not a curated record.